GACGAACGCUGGCGGCGUGCUUAACACAUGCAAGUCGAACGGAAAGGCCCUGCUUUUGUGGGGUGCUCGAGUGGCGAACGGGUGAGUAACACGUGAGUAACCUGCCCUUGACUUUGGGAUAACUUCAGGAAACUGGGGCUAAUACCGGAUAGGAGCUCCUGCUGCAUGGUGGGGGUUGGAAAGUUUCGGCGGUUGGGGAUGGACUCGCGGCUUAUCAGCUUGUUGGUGGGGUAGUGGCUUACCAAGGUUUUGACGGGUAGCCGGCCCGAGAGGGUUACCGGCCACAUUGGGACUGAGAUACGGCCCAGACUCCUACGGGAGGCAGCAGUGGGGAAUAUUGCACAAUGGGCGGAAGCCUGAUGCAGAAACGCCGCGUGCGGGAUGACGGCCUUCGGGUUGUAAACCGCUUUCGCAUGUGACGAAGCGUGAGUGACGGUAAUGGGUAAAGAAGCACCGGCUAACUACGUG
RNAcentral lists this ribosomal RNA (468 nucleotides) under uncultured bacterium. Its description in RNAcentral is "partial 16S ribosomal RNA". It matches the Rfam family "Bacterial small subunit ribosomal RNA", at positions 28 to 507 of the family's 1533-position model. The record is from RNAcentral.